This 292-nucleotide ribosomal RNA is filed under the name uncultured bacterium. Its description in RNAcentral is "partial 16S ribosomal RNA". It matches the Rfam family "Bacterial small subunit ribosomal RNA", at positions 505 to 796 of the family's 1533-position model. The record is from RNAcentral.
GUGCCAGCAGCCGCGGUAAUACGAAGGGGGCUAGCGUUGCUCGGAAUGACUGGGCGUAAAGGGCGCGUAGGCGGUUUGGUUAGUUAGGCGUGAAAUUCCUGGGCUCAACCUGGGGGCUGCGCUUAAUACAGCCAGACUAGAGUGUGAAAGAGGGUCGUGGAAUUCCCAGUGUAGAGGUGAAAUUCGUAGAUAUUGGGAAGAACACCGGUGGCGAAGGCGGCGACCUGGUUCAUUACUGACGCUGAGGCGCGAAAGCGUGGGGAGCAAACAGGAUUAGAUACCCUGGUAGUCC